GGGUGCAAGCGUUACUCGGAAUCACUGGGCGUAAAGCGCGCGCAGGCGGGCUGGUAAGUUGGAUGUGAAAGCCUACGGCUCAACCGUAGAACUGCAUCCAAAACUGCCAGUCUAGAGUCUGGGAGAGGUAAGUGGAAUUAGUUGUGUAGGGGUAAAAUCCGUAGAGAUAACUAGGAAUACCAAAAGCGAAGGCAACUUACUGGAACAGUACUGACGCUGAGGCGCGAAAGCGUGGGGAGCAAACAGGAUUAGAUACCCUGGUAGUCCACGCCCUAAACGAUGAAUGUUAGUCGUCGGGGAGCUAGUCUCUUCGGUGAUGCAGCUAACGCAUUAAACAUUCCGCCUGGGGAGUACGGUCGCAAGAUUAAAACUCAAAGGAAUAGACGGGGACCCGCACAAGUGGUGGAGCAUGUGGUUUAAUUCGAAGAUACGCGAAGAACCUUACCUGGCCUUGACAUCCCCGGAACCCCCCAGAGAUGGAGGGGUGCCCCUUUUUGGGGAACCGGGUGACAGGUGCUGCACGGCUGUCGUCAGCUCGUGUCGUGAGAUGUUGGGUUAAGUCCCGCAACGAGCGCAACCCUCGUGACUAGUUACUAACGGUUCGGCCGAGGACUCUAGUCAGACUGCCUCCGCAAGGAGGAGGAAGGUGAGGACGACGUCAAGUCAUCAUGGCCCUUACGGCCAGGGCAACACACGUGCUACAAUGGGCAGGACAAUGAGACGCGAUACCGCGAGGUGGAGCAAAUCUAUAAACCUGCUCUCAGUUCGGAUUGUAGUCUGCAACUCGACUACAUGAAGCUGGAAUCACUAGUAAUCGUAGAUCAGCUAUGCUACGGUGAAUACGUUCCCGGGUC
RNAcentral lists this ribosomal RNA (854 nucleotides) under uncultured bacterium. RNAcentral describes it as "bacterial SSU rRNA". It matches the Rfam family "Bacterial small subunit ribosomal RNA", at positions 530 to 1380 of the family's 1533-position model. The record is from RNAcentral.